RNAcentral lists this ribosomal RNA (253 nucleotides) under uncultured bacterium. Its description in RNAcentral is "partial 16S ribosomal RNA". It matches the Rfam family "Bacterial small subunit ribosomal RNA", at positions 524 to 776 of the family's 1533-position model. The record is from RNAcentral.
UACGGGGGGUGCAAGCGUUAUCCGGAUUCACUGGGUUUAAAGGGUGCGUAGGCGGGUUGGUAAGUCAGUGGUGAAAUCUUCAAGCUUAACUUGGAAACUGCCGUUGAUACUAUCAAUCUUGAAUAUUGUGGAGGUAAGCGGAAUAUGUCAUGUAGCGGUGAAAUGCUUAGAUAUGACAUAGAACACCGAUAGCGAAGGCAGCUUGCUACACAGAAAUUGACGCUGAGGCACGAAAGCGUGGGGAUCAAACAGG